RNAcentral lists this long non-coding RNA (973 nucleotides) under Homo sapiens (human). RNAcentral describes it as "HSALNT0337796". The record is from RNAcentral. Lineage: Eukaryota; Metazoa; Chordata; Mammalia; Primates; Hominidae.
GCCUGAAGAGAACAGAAGGCUGAACCUCCUGUGAGUAAAAGUCCUCCUGCCUGGAUGCUUUCAAACUGGGACAUCAGCUUUUUUUCCUGCCUUCAGACUCGAACUGAAGGAUCCACUCCACUCUUCCUGGGUCUCCAGCUUGCAGACUCCCUCUGCAGAUCUUGGGACCUGCCCACCUUUAUAAUUACGUGAACCAAUUCCUUAUAAUGAAUCGCUUUAUUUGCACACACACACGUCCUAUUGGUUGUUUCCCUGGAGAGCCGUGACUUGUACACACCCUGUUCUUAUUCUGUCACAAUGCCUGUUACAACAUCUCAGCACUGGCCAUUUAACUGCAUCUCCUACUGAGCUGGAAGCUCUGGUGGAUAGGGGCAGGUCUGCUCAUUCACUGCUGCCUUCCCUGCACCUGGUACCAUGCACACAGAAUAAGCCUAGCAGAAUGCCUGUGGAUGGACUGACCAAUGAAAGUAAUGAGGUGCUGGGACCCGAAGGCUGAGUGGCAUGAGUCAUGAGGAGGCAUAGGUGGAGUUGGAGGUGGGAGGAGGAUGAUGUAGCAAAGGUAUUUAUAUCAGCCAGAGUCCCAGCAGGAAGAUGGCAUCUUCCACAAGAUAAGUGGGCCAAGUUUAAAGAUGAGAUGAUCUACACAGGCAACUCUAUAGAUCACUGGGGACUCAUCCUGCAGAUAUCAUUCAAGGUAUCCGGUUCAGAAUCUAUCACCAGCUCAGACUGUAGCCUCUGAAGAGAUCUCAGAUGUUUUGUGCCUUAUACAUUUAAUUCUGAGAUCAUAGAGCCCAAGGAGGUUUUGAGGACCCUCUACCCACACCUUCAGAUGUUUUCAGAGGAUUUGCUGGCAGGGCUGGGCCACUGGGCCUUGCUGGGCUCUAAUUUUCCUACCCACGUGUGUCCUAUAGACCGUGAAUUUUCUUCUAAACACUCUUGACUUUUCACUUGUUAAAUUAAAGCAUUUUCUUAA